RNAcentral lists this ribosomal RNA (643 nucleotides) under sulfate-reducing bacterium enrichment culture clone 1-3-5-otu2-2. Its description in RNAcentral is "bacterial SSU rRNA". It matches the Rfam family "Bacterial small subunit ribosomal RNA", at positions 88 to 749 of the family's 1533-position model. The record is from RNAcentral.
UGACUUACUGGUGGACGGGUGAGUAACGCGUGGGUAACCUGCCUCAUACAGGGGGAUAACAGUUGGAAACGACUGCUAACACCGCAUAAGCCUACAGUCUCGCAUGAGACAGUAGGAAAAUAUUUAUAGGUAUGAGAUGGACCCGCGUCUGAUUAGCUAGUUGGUGAGGUAACGGCCCACCAAGGCGACGAUCAGUAGCCGACUUGAGAGAGUGAUCGGCCACAUUGGGACUGAGACACGGCCCAAACUCCUACGGGAGGCAGCAGUGGGGAAUAUUGCACAAUGGGGGAAACCCUGAUGCAGCGACGCCGCGUGAGUGAAGAAGUAUUUCGGUAUGUAAAGCUCUAUCAGCAAGGAAGAUAAUGACGGUACUUGACUAAGAAGCCCCGGCUAACUACGUGCCAGCAGCCGCGGUAAUACGUAGGGGGCAAGCGUUAUCCGGAUUUACUGGGUGUAAAGGGAGCGUAGGUGGUAUGGUAAGUCAGAUGUGAAAGCCCAGGGCUCAACCCUGGGACUGCAUUUGAAACUAUCGAACUAGAGUGCAGGAGAGGUAAGUGGAAUUCCUAGUGUAGCGGUGAAAUGCGUAGAUAUUAGGAGGAACACCAGUGGCGAAGGCGGCUUACUGGACUGUAACUGACACUGA